RNAcentral lists this ribosomal RNA (677 nucleotides) under uncultured Cryptomonas. Its description in RNAcentral is "SSU rRNA". It matches the Rfam family "Eukaryotic small subunit ribosomal RNA", at positions 626 to 1314 of the family's 1831-position model. Lineage: Eukaryota; Cryptophyceae; Cryptomonadales; Cryptomonadaceae. The record is from RNAcentral.
GCUCGUAGUCGGAUUUUGGGCGCGUGUGAACUGUCAGCCUCUGGUUGGACGGUGCGCGCGUGCCUUUCUGCUUGGGAGCCCCAUGGUGGUUAAUUCUGUCGUGGUGGGUCACAGGCCGUUUACUUUGAAAAAAUUAGAGUGUUCAAAGCAGGCUGUUGCUUGAAUAGAUUAGCAUGGAAUAAUGGAAUAGGACCUUGGUGCUAUUUCGUUGGUUAUGGGACUGGGGUAAUGAUUAAUAGGGACAGUUGGGGCCGUUCAUAUUUCGUUGUCAGAGGUGAGAUUCUUGGAUUUACGAACGAUGAACUUGUGCGAAAGCAUUCGGCAAGGAUGUUUUCAUUGAUCAAGAACGAAAGUUAGGGGAUCGAAGACGAUCAGAUACCGUCGUAGUCUUAACCAUAAACUAUGCCAACUAGGGAUCAUUGAGUGUCAAUUUACGACCUCAUUGGCACCUUGUGAGAAAUCAAAGUUUUUGGGUUCCGGGGGGAGUAUGGUCGCAAGGCUGAAACUUAAAGGAAUUGACGGAAGGGCACCACCAGGAGUGGAGCCUGCGGCUUAAUUUGACUCAACACGGGGAAACUUACCAGGUCCAGACAUAGUCAGGAUGGACAGAUUGAAAGCUCUUUCUUGAUUCUAUGGGUGGUGGUGCAUGGCCGUUCUUAGUUGGUGGAGUGAUUUGU